GGGACAAUAGGCAGAACUCAUAUAUCUAUAAUAUUUUCAAUUAGACUGAUGGAUCUAUAAAUUUUCUUGUUUGAGCCAUUAGUAUUGCACCUGCUACUACUUUUCAACAAAGUUCUGAUGCCGCGUAAGCCAGCACAAUACUAUGAGAGAACUGAGCUUCAAUAACUGGGUUGAGGGCAGGAAUUCUUCCGGUUCAAGUGAACGUACUAGGAAGAGUAUAAAUUCUUGCAUAGGUGAUUGCUUGCUCUACAAUCUACAUGUUGUAAUGGAAGUAAAGAUCCAAGGAUAUGCUCCAAAUUGCCAUGGGAAAUCUUCUUCUGUUAUCUGAAAACUAGUGUCCUAAACGACUUAACGGGAUAAAUUUUCGAAGCAGAAUGUUUUGUCGCAACUCUCGCUCCUCCAUUCUCCAUGUUGAGUAAAAUGGAAAAAUCAAUAUUGGUUGUGAACUUGUGGCCUUUUGACAAUUGUUUUUCUAGUGUUAGACAUGCUGCAAAAGUCAUUAUAUUCAAUAUUGAGGGCAACAAUAA
This is a long non-coding RNA of Alnus glutinosa, 527 nucleotides long. RefSeq lists it as uncharacterized. The record is from RefSeq and is a predicted model, not a curated record. NCBI's taxonomy places the organism in Eukaryota, Viridiplantae, Streptophyta, Magnoliopsida, Fagales, Betulaceae. The transcript is spliced from 2 exons.